RNAcentral lists this ribosomal RNA (269 nucleotides) under uncultured bacterium. RNAcentral's name for it is "partial 16S ribosomal RNA". It matches the Rfam family "Bacterial small subunit ribosomal RNA", at positions 90 to 354 of the family's 1533-position model. The record is from RNAcentral.
CCGGACCGGCGCACGGGUGAGUAACGCGUAUGCAACCUGCCCGUUUCAGCGGGAUAACCCGGAGAAAUCCGGCCUAAUACCGCAUGUGGCCGAGGGGAGGCAUCUUCUUUUCGGCCAAAGGAGGCGACUCCGGAGACGGAUGGGCAUGCGUGACAUUAGCUUGUUGGCGGGGUAACGGCCCACCAAGGCGACGAUGUCUAGGGGUUCUGAGAGGAAGGUCCCCCACACUGGUACUGAGACACGGACCAGACUCCUACGGGAGGCAGCAG